This 203-nucleotide long non-coding RNA is filed under the name Mytilus galloprovincialis (Mediterranean mussel). Lineage: Eukaryota; Metazoa; Mollusca; Bivalvia; Mytilida; Mytilidae. The record is from RNAcentral.
GCGCUGUUGUCUGUCUGUCUGUUUGUUGUUUCCUUUUUAGCCAUGGAAUUGUCAGUUUAUAUUCGACUUAUGAGUUUGCCUCCCUUCUAACCAUAAAUCAUGUGUACAUAUCAAUUUCCAUUUGAAGAUAUAUGUUUAUAAGGGUAACUACGACACGUUUGGGCACACACUACCUACACCUAUAACAUCAUGAUAAUGUGUAC